UUGUAUUGUAUUUUAAAGUUCUCAUUUGUUAUGCUAAUUAUCUUUAAUAUUUAAAGAUGAAGAAAUUAAAAUUUGUUAUCUUAUUCAUAUAAAAAAUUAAUGUAUUCAAUUCUUCCACGUCUCUUUCUGUCAAAAGUCAUCACUCAUCACAGUAGAUGAGGUAACCAAAACAAAAAUGAUCUCUCCAUAAAAUUCCCAAGAUCUUAU
Molecule: long non-coding RNA, 207 nt
Filed under: Lathyrus oleraceus (garden pea)
Lineage: Eukaryota; Viridiplantae; Streptophyta; Magnoliopsida; Fabales; Fabaceae
Description: Pisum sativum (pea) long non-coding RNA (PSAT_LNC013516)
Source: RNAcentral